Molecule: ribosomal RNA, 253 nt
Filed under: uncultured bacterium
Lineage: Bacteria
Description: partial 16S ribosomal RNA
Rfam family: Bacterial small subunit ribosomal RNA
Source: RNAcentral
UACGGAGGGUGCGAGCGUUGUCCGGAAUCUCUGGGCGUAAAGGGCGCGUAGGCGGCCGUGUAAGUCACUUGUGAAAUCCCGGGGCUCAACUCCGGGGCUGCAGGUGAGACUGCGUGGCUAGAGCUUGGUAGAGGCGAGUGGAAUUCCCGGUGUAGAGGUGAAAUUCGUAGAUAUCGGGAGGAACACCAGUGGCGAAGGCGGCGACCUGGGCCAACAUUGACGCUGAGGUGCGAAAGCGUGGGGAGCAAACAGG